CUGACGAGAUCUGCAACAGUUGUUUUGACACUGACUGACAAUCAUUGCGAUUCGACAAGUAGAAAGGUCAGGUUCGUCGCUACCGGGUCGGCACGGCUCGGGUUCAAUCUGGUUGGAUGAUAUGGACUGCAAAGGAACUGAGAAGAUCCUGUCCAGCUGUCCGUUCAAGGGCUGGGGGUUGACCGACUGUUGCCACAAGGAGGGUGCAGGGGUCGUUUGUGAGAGAGCCCCACAGGGAACAGAGAUGGGGAGGGGAAGUUGGAAGUGGAGGAGAGGAACAUCUGCACCCACAAACUGAUCCUCUCUCUCUACCCACACUUCAACAUCACCAACGGGUCCAGUAACCUCUCCCUGGAGAUGAGUCAAGCCUGCAGCCCCUGUGUCACCAGCUUCAUCAGGUGCUAUUUAGAUAUGUUUAUUGGGUCAAUACAUGAUCCAGAAUGUUGUACAGUAUGUCUUAAAGGGGAAGUUCAGUAUUUUACAAUGUAAUGUAUGUGGGCAGCUGGAAGCCUAGCGGUUAAGUGCUGGGCCAGUUACAAAAAGGUCGCUGAUUAGAAUCCUUGAGCCGACUAUGUGAAAAAUCUGUCGAUGUGCCUUCGAGCAAGGCACUUAACCAUAGUUGCUCCAGUAAGUCGCUCUGGAUAAUAGCAUCUGCUAAAUGACUCAAAUGUAAAAUGUAUGAUGGAUACCCCUCUCACUCCCAUUGACUUUUAUCUAGCGGUGGCUAAAGUAUAACUGAAAUUUGUAGUGGCUGUUUAAAGGAAACCGAACGAUAGAUUUUAGUUUAUCCUGGCCCAUUGUCUACUUUUCACCCUUAAAUUAUAAAAUACAGAAUUUAUCCCCAAAAUCCAAAUCUGUCAGAUGAUUUUAGACCUCAUAAGUAGUCUCAUGUCAAGAUGAGUCUACGUCUCUUUGCAUCAAUUGUGUAGAUCCAGGGUGCCUUACUUAAAGCACAGUUUUUCUCUCGGUCCAACACCACUGGCUGAAGUUCCUUUAGCUAUGGUAUCUCCUCUCUUUUCUUUUUAAUAAAAGUUUUAAAUGAUGGUACUGUAAUUAUGGAAAAUGUUGAUCAAUUUGCAUAUGAAUCUUAAUUUCAUCAAAUAAUAUCAAAAUGUAUAACUGUUCUUACUUUAGAAUUAUGAACAUAACUAUAUUAACUAUGAAAUGUAGGCUUGCACUUGAA
Long non-coding RNA from Oncorhynchus masou masou (cherry salmon), 1183 nucleotides. RefSeq lists it as uncharacterized. The transcript has 3 exons. The record is from RefSeq and is a predicted model, not a curated record. Lineage: Eukaryota; Metazoa; Chordata; Actinopteri; Salmoniformes; Salmonidae.